GACGAACGCUGGCGGCGUGCCUAAUACAUGCAAGUCGAACGGUUUAGUUCCAAGAGGCGUGCCUGUUGGGACUAGGCAGUGGCGGACGGGUGAGUAACACGUAGGCAACCUACCUGUCAAACCGGGAUAACCUCGGGAAACCGAAGCUAAACCCGGAUAAGCUCCUUUUUCGCAUGAAGGGGGAGUGAAAAGGUGCGACCUGAUGACAGAUGGGCCUGCGGCGCAUUAGCUAGUAGGUAGGGUAACGGCCUACCUAGGCGAUGAUGCGUAGCCGACCUGAGAGGGCGUACGGCCACACUGGGACUGAGAUACGGCCCAGACUCCUACGGGAGGCAGCAGUAGGGAAUCUUCGGCAAUGGGCGAAAGCCUGACCGGGCAACGCCGCGUGAGUGAGGAAGGCCUUCGGGUUGUAAAACUCUGUUGUUUGGGAAGAAGGGAAAGGGUAGGACCCUUUGGUGACGGUACCAAACGAGAAAGCCCCGGCUAACUACGUGCCAGCAGCCGCCGUAA
This 510-nucleotide ribosomal RNA is filed under the name uncultured bacterium. RNAcentral's name for it is "partial 16S ribosomal RNA". It matches the Rfam family "Bacterial small subunit ribosomal RNA", at positions 28 to 523 of the family's 1533-position model. The record is from RNAcentral.